AACGAACGCUGGCGGCAGGCCUAACACAUGCAAGUCGAACGCCCCGCAAGGGGAGUGGCAGACGGGUGAGUAACGCGUGAGAACCUACCUUUCGGUGCGGAAUAACUUCGGGAAACCAAAGCUAAUACCGCAUACGCCCUACGGGGGAAAGAUUUAUCGCCGAUAGAUGGGCCCGCGUCGGAUUAGCUAGUUGGUGAGGUAAUGGCUCACCAAGGCUACGAUCCGUAGCUGGUCUGAGAGGAUGAUCAGCCACACUGGGACUGAGACACGGCCCAGACUCCUACGGGAGGCAGCAGUGGGGAAUAUUGGACAAUGGGCGCAAGCCUGAUCCAGCCAUGCCGCGUGAGUGAAGAAGGCCUUAGGGUUGUAAAGCUCUUUUAGUGGGGACGAUAAUGACGGUACCCACAGAAUAAGCCCCGGCUAACUUCGUGCCAGCAGCCGCGGUAA
RNAcentral lists this ribosomal RNA (447 nucleotides) under uncultured bacterium. Its description in RNAcentral is "partial 16S ribosomal RNA". It matches the Rfam family "Bacterial small subunit ribosomal RNA", at positions 29 to 523 of the family's 1533-position model. The record is from RNAcentral.